Seriola dumerili (greater amberjack) is the source of this 520-nucleotide long non-coding RNA. RefSeq lists it as uncharacterized. NCBI's taxonomy places the organism in Eukaryota, Metazoa, Chordata, Actinopteri, Carangiformes, Carangidae. The transcript is spliced from 3 exons. The record is from RefSeq and is a predicted model, not a curated record.
CAGCAGAUUCUGAUUGGUUUGACAUUUGUCUCUCUGUCCUUCGCUCAGGUCUUGUACUCUCUUGUCUGUGGAGUUGAAAUGUCUUUUUAUGGCCACUUAGAGAAAGAGGCUGCCGGUGUCACCAGUCAGCUCACACUCACACAGCAGAGGAAUUCAUUCCAGAGUCUGGCAGCAGGCCUUAUUGGGGAAGCAGCAGGUAUGGCUUGGCCCCCACAUGUCUGCCUCCCUCACCACCAACAAUGGAGCUCCGCAAGCCUGUGUCCUCUCCCCAUAUCUUUUGUCCCUGUUCACCAACGACUGCACCUCCAGCCAUAGGUUCUGCUCCAUCAGGACCAGGACCACAAGACACGGGAAUAGUUUUUUCCCGGGUGCCAUCACUCUCCUCAACAAUCCAACCUAGUCACCUAUUUGCACCCCUCCCCCCCAAAGAAAAAAAAAAUUGUGCAAUACAACUGAACUCAAAUCGAAACACGUAACAUUUAACAGUGCAAUAACGUACAGUAUGAUUGUAAUUAUUUCU